This 88-nucleotide ribosomal RNA is filed under the name uncultured fungus. Its description in RNAcentral is "partial 5.8S ribosomal RNA". It matches the Rfam family "5.8S ribosomal RNA", at positions 71 to 154 of the family's 154-position model. From Rfam's summary of the family: 5.8S ribosomal RNA (5.8S rRNA) is a component of the large subunit of the eukaryotic ribosome. It is transcribed by RNA polymerase I as part of the 45S precursor that also contains 18S and 28S rRNA. Functionally, it is thought that 5.8S rRNA may be involved in ribosome translocation. Lineage: Eukaryota; Fungi. The record is from RNAcentral.
AUUGCAGAAUUCAGGUGAAUCAUCGAAUCUUUGAACGCACCUUGCGCCCUUUGGCUAUUCCGAAGGGCAUGCCUGUUUGAGUAUCAUG